UACGAAGGGGGCUAGCGUUGUUCGGAAUUACUGGGCGUAAAGGGCGCGUAGGCGGUUUUGUAAGUCAGGAGUGAAAUCCCCAGGCUCAACCUGGGAAUUGCUUUUGAGACUAUAGAGCUUGAGUGCGAGAGAGGUGAGUGGAAUUCCCAGUGUAGAGGUAAAAUUCGUAGAUAUUGGGAGGAACACCAGUGGCGAAGGCGGCUCACUGGCUCGUAACUGACGCUGAGGCGCGAAAGCGUGGGGAGCAAACAGG
Molecule: ribosomal RNA, 253 nt
Filed under: uncultured bacterium
Lineage: Bacteria
Description: partial 16S ribosomal RNA
Rfam family: Bacterial small subunit ribosomal RNA
Source: RNAcentral